GAUGAACGCUGGCGGCGUGCCUAAUACAUGCAAGUCGAGCGAAUGGAUUAAGAGCUUGCUCUUAUGAAGUUAGCGGCGGACGGGUGAGUAACACGUGGGUAACCUGCCCAUAAGACUGGGAUAACUCCGGGAAACCGGGGCUAAUACCGGAUAACAUUUUGAACCGCAUGGUUCGAAAUUGAAUGGCGGCUUCGGCUGUCACUUAUGGAUGGACCCGCGUCGCAUUAGCUAGUUGGUGAGGUAACGGCUCACCAAGGCAACGAUGCGUAGCCGACCUGAGAGGGUGAUCGGCCACACUGGGACUGAGACACGGCCCAGUCUCCUACGGGAGGCAGCAGUAGGGAAUCUUCCGCAAUGGACGAAAGUCUGACGGAGCAACGCCGCGUGAGUGAUGAAGGCUUUCGGGUCGUAAAACUCUGUUGUUAGGGAAGAACAAGUGCUAGUUGAAUAAGCUGGCACCUUGACGGUACCUAACCAGAAAGCCACGGCUAACUACGUGCCAGCCGCCGCAGUAA
RNAcentral lists this ribosomal RNA (515 nucleotides) under uncultured bacterium. Its description in RNAcentral is "partial 16S ribosomal RNA". It matches the Rfam family "Bacterial small subunit ribosomal RNA", at positions 28 to 523 of the family's 1533-position model. The record is from RNAcentral.